GCCGGGGUAGCUCAGCGGUAGAGCAGCUGUUUCGUAAACAGCAGGUCGUGGGUUCGAAUCCCAUCCCCGGCU
This 72-nucleotide transfer RNA is filed under the name Elusimicrobia bacterium RIFOXYD12_FULL_66_9. RNAcentral describes it as "tRNA-Thr". It matches the Rfam family "tRNA". From Rfam's summary of the family: Transfer RNA (tRNA) molecules are approximately 80 nucleotides in length. Their secondary structure includes four short double-helical elements and three loops (D, anti-codon, and T loops). The record is from RNAcentral. Lineage: Bacteria; Pseudomonadati; Elusimicrobiota. RNAcentral also lists the same sequence under 1 other name.